RNAcentral lists this long non-coding RNA (1190 nucleotides) under Rattus norvegicus (Norway rat). RNAcentral describes it as "long non-coding RNA NONRATT009759". Lineage: Eukaryota; Metazoa; Chordata; Mammalia; Rodentia; Muridae. The record is from RNAcentral.
UUUGAUCAACCAUCUUUACUGCAGAGACUUAACUCAAAGUUUUGCACAUAGACACCAUUGACACACAUGGUUCAGAACUAAAUAGUUAUUAAGGCCGCUUUAAUUUCAACAGAGAUAGUAACAGUAGCUUCCACCGAUGUAGCAAGGACCACUUCACAAAUACCAGCAGGAUCUGUCUGUAGAGACCGCUGUACCUAGUCUUUGUUCUACAAGUAGGAAGCUAGUACCCAAAGACAAAUCAUUUUCCCCAGGUCACUGAGUUAGAAAUCAAGUUGAGAUUAAAUGAUAAUUCAUUCUCAUACAUCCUCCUCUUUAUAAAGGAAACACAUUAAAUCAUGUGUGGGAAUUAUAUAUGGUAUGGCCACUGAGAAAAAAAAUUAACCUCUGAGGUGUGUUUUAACUCUCUACAUGUCAGAUUUGUCUUUUCAAUUACAAUAAUGAGACACUCUUGAGAAAACCAUUGUUACUAUAACUGUACAGUCUUAAGGGCCAUCGAAUAGAUCAGUUUUCUACCUGCAUAUGUUGGUAAUUAUAAAAUAUAUACAUGGAAAAACAUAUAGUACAUAGAAACCAAAUGCAAAUAAGAUACUUUUAGACUUUAGAAAUUCUUUAAGCAUGUUAUAUUAACCCUAUUAAAAAUGGCUUUUCUAUAUACAAUACAUAAUCUUUAAAAAUCUAUCCCGAGAAACGAAACUCUUUGGUUCAGCAAAGGACUCUAAAUGUGUAAAUAUAAUUUCUUAAGGAUGCACUUUCUUAUUCUGGGCUUUGCUUCUCUGGCUUCAGUCUUCAUGAGACAGACAGCUGACUUUCUCUAAAGAAUGGAGAUGUGUCUGUGGAAUGGACGGUUUUCUUUUCACAUAGAAUAUAUCAUAUGAAAAUACAACCAGAAGCGUGAAUGAUACAUGAAUCAGGAUACUGUCUCUCCUCUUCCAGACGAGAAAUAUACAGGGACAUCUGCCAUCAGUUUGGAAGGAAAGGGAGAAGUGGGACACCUACAAACACCAGGAAAGCUUUCAGGGACAGGAGUCCAGUGCACUGGAAGCUUUUCUCUCACUUCCAGAUUGGAAGAUCGCCAAGAGGCAACAGGACAAGGCCAGCUUCUGGGCGUUCAUUUUCCUUCUAAAAUCCCAUCACACCCUCAGUAUCCUGGGUUCUCUCUAUAUACAAGACUUGAUUGCCUCCUUCAAGCA